This 3684-nucleotide long non-coding RNA is filed under the name Salmo salar (Atlantic salmon). RNAcentral describes it as "lncRNA (ENSSSAG00000100384.1)". Lineage: Eukaryota; Metazoa; Chordata; Actinopteri; Salmoniformes; Salmonidae. The record is from RNAcentral.
CUAGCCCCUAUACCUACCACUUAGUCACUUAUGGGCAUUUGAAACGAUCAGAUAGGUUAAAGAAAUAUAGUAAUUGCUUCACCUUGCCUUCUGAUAGUCUGGAUGCAAUUGUGGCCAUAUUGCUUAUACCUAUUCAAUCAUUACUGAUUCACAGAAGUGUUUAGGCCAGGGUGUAGGAUUUAGGGGUCAAUUUGGAUUUAGGAAUCAAAUGUAGUUCAGGGGCUUACAGCUGUCCUUAAUUAGCCAAUGACGUUAGAAGGGUCUGGGAUUUGUUUAAAAGGAGCAACCAAAAAGCCUGCCAGAUACAGCAAAAGAGAUAUCAUACUAGGGCUUAUACCGGCCAUUAGUACUGAUUACUGGGGAGGUUUUGAGGUGCAAAAUGGCCGUGAUGAUUGGAAUCGCUUUCAGAGUUUCUUGGCUUUGUUGCCUGCUAAUUGGAGGGAUAACCUGUUCUACAUCAAGUGAUGGGUAUCCUGCACUAGGUUCUGAUGCAGCAUGGCUCUAUGCCGGCUCACUUAGGUCUAAAGGAUAUGGUAAUUACAACUCUCCAACAGCUCAAAUGCAAGCGCAGCUGACCGAAGAGCAACAGAAGCAUCCGGCCGUCAUCCUGCAAAAGCAACUGGUCCACAUGCCCCAGGCACCUCAGAAAAUGUGGUAUCCAGCUCAAAUGCCCCAGCAGGAAAAGCAACCGGCCGCCAUGACCCAACAGCAGACUCUACCGGACAGUUAUCCUAAGCAGCCUCAAGCAGUGUUGUAUCCAGCUCAAAUGCCCCAGAAGCAACCAGCUACUGAACUUCAGCAUCAGAAGGAACAGGCCUCCAUACCCCAGCUACCUCAGCAAGUGUGGUAUCCAGUACAAAUUCCCCAGCAGCAGAAGGAACUGACCACCAUGCCCCAGAAGCAACUGGCUCCAAUUCCUAUACUGCAGAAACAACCAACCGCUAUGCCCCAGCAAGCAUGGUAUCCAGCUCAAAUGCAGCAGAAGCAACCAGCCCCAAUGCCUCCACUGCAGAAGCAACCGGCCACCAUGCCCCAGCAAGUGUGGCAUCCAGCUCAAAUGCCCAAGCAACAAAAGCAACCAGCCACUGAACCUCAGCAGCAGAAGGAACUGUCCGCCAUGCCCCAGCUUCUUCAGCAAGUGUGGCAUCCAGCUCAAUUUCCCCAGAAGCAACAUGUCCCUAUGCAUCAACCGCAGAAGGAACUGACUGCCAUUCCACCACAACUGUGGCAGUAUGCUCAAAUGCCCCAGCAGCAUAAGCAACUGGCUGCCAUGCUUCAGCAAGUGCGGCAACAGGCCACCAUGCCCCAGAUGCCUCACGAUGUGUGGUAUCCAGCUAAAAUGGUCCAGAAGCAACAAGCCGCUGCAACUCGGCGGCAUAAGGAACUUAACGCCAUAACUACGCAAGAGUGGCAUCCAGCUCAAUUUCCCCAGCAGCAGAAGCAACCAGCCCUAAUGCCUUUACCGCGGAAGGAACUUACCGCCAUACCUCAACAAGUGUGGUAUCCAGCUCAAAAGCCCCAGAUGCAGAAGCAACCGGCCGCAGAACUUCAGCAGCAAAUUGAACCGACCUCCAUUCCUCAGCCACCUCAGCAAGUGUGGCAACCAGAUCAAUUUCCCCAGGAGCAGAAGCAACCAGCCCCUAUGCGUGUAGCACAGAAGGAACUGACUGCCAUACCCCAACUGUGGCAAACGGCUCAAAUACCGCAGAAGCAACCGGCUGCUGAACCACAGCACAAUGAACCGGCCACCAUGCCCCAGCAAGAGUGGCAUCCACCUCAAAUGCUGCAGACGCAACCAAGCUCCAUGCCCCAGCAAGUGUGGUGUCCAGCUCACAUUCCCCAGCAGCAGAAACAACUGGCCACCAUGCUGCAGAAGCAACCAGCCCCAAUGCCUCAACCGCAGAAGCAACUGGCCACCAUGCCCCCGCAAGUGUGGCAUCCAGCUCAAAUGCCUCAGCAGCAAAAGCAACCAGCUACUGAACCUCAGCAGCAAAUUGAACCGACCGCCAUGCCCCAGCCACCUCAGCAAGUGUGGCAUUCAGAUCAAUUUCCCCAGGAGCAGAAGCAACCAGCCCCUAUGCAUCUAGCGCAGAAGGAACUGACUGCCAUACCCCAACAACUGUGGCAAAUGGCUCAAAUGCCCCAGCAGCAUAAGCAACCGUCUACCAUGCUUCAGCAAGUGUGGCAUCUGGCGCAGAAGCAACAGGCCCCUAUGCCCCAGCAGACUCACGAUGUGUGGUAUCCAGCUAAAAUGGUCCAGAAGAUACAAGCCGCUGCAACUCGGAGGCAGAAGGAACUGACCGCCAUAACUAAGCAAGAGUGGCAUCCAGCUCAAUUUCCCCAGCAGCAGAAGCAACCGGCCUCCACGCCUCUACCGCAGGAGCAACUGACUGCCGUAUCCCAGCAAGUGUGGUAUCCAGCUCAAAUGCCUCAGAAGCAUCUGGCCUCCAUGCCGCAGAAGCAACCGACCACCAUUCCACAGCAACCAGUGUAUCCAGCUCAAAAGCCCCAGCUGCAGAAGCAACCGGCCGCUGAACCUCAGCAGCAAAUUGAACCGACCUCCAUUCCCGAGCAAGUGUGGCAUCCAGCUCAAUUUCCCCAGCAGCAGAAGCAACCGGCCUCCAUGCCUCUACCGCAGGAGCAACCGACUGCCGUAUCCCAGCAAGUGUGGUAUCCAGCUCAAAUGUCCCAGCAGCAACUGGCCUCCAUGCCGCUACCGCAGAAGCAACUGACCAACAUGCCUCAGCAAGAGUGGCAACCAGCUCAAAUACCGCAGAAGCAAUCGGCUGCUGAACCACAGCAGAACGAACCGACCACCAUUCCCCAGCAACCAGUGUAUCCAGCUCAAAAGCCCCAGCUGCAGAAGCAACCGGCCACCAUACCCCAGCAAGUGAGGUAUCCAGCGCAAAUGUCCCAGCAGCGGAAGCAACACACUGCCAUGCCACAGCAGCAACUGACCCCCAUGCCUCAGCUAUUAUGGCAUGUAGCUCAAAUGCCCCAGAAGCAACUGGCCCCAAUGUCUCAGCAGAAGCACUACGAAAGCACUGAAGAUUGUGCCUGUGGUAGCUCUCAGGCCAGCAUCGUUGAACAGUUGGGUGUCAUCCCAAUCUAUUCCUACAGUUCCAAAUCGCACUACGAGAGUGGCAGAACUGUCUUCUCCCAAACCCGCUACACUCCUAGGGAGGCAAUGCCUGUUGACAGUGGAAAUUCUCCCAAGGACAGUUAUGUUGUCAUUGGUGCACCAAGCAUAUAUCCACCAGUAGUGAAGGAUUCUGCAAGGAAAAUGUAAUGGAUUCAUCCUCUAGAAGCUCUAAUGGAAGUUGCUGGUGCUCUUGCUACUCUAGCGUGAUGGAAUCAAUAAACAAUUUUACUUGUCUCUUUGAAAUAAUGGUUCUCGUGUCCAUUGCUUGCUAAUUGAGAACAGGUGGUGUGCAUUCUGUAGUAAAAAUGACUGCUGUUAAGUUAAUUCUUUGGCCUUCUAAUCUUGAACUUAUAUGGUGAUUGCAUCAACUUUCAUAGUAUUACCACGACGACUGCAAAACAGUUUCUUUCAAUCACCCAUGUGGGUAUAACCAAUGAGAUGGGAGAGGGAAGACUUUCAGUGAGAUCUGUGUCAGAAAUGGAAAGGAGUUCUAUUUUAGCCUAUCGCAGACAUUCGUUGGCACGCGCGAGCAGUGUGGGUGC